This 468-nucleotide ribosomal RNA is filed under the name uncultured bacterium. RNAcentral's name for it is "partial 16S ribosomal RNA". It matches the Rfam family "Bacterial small subunit ribosomal RNA", at positions 28 to 507 of the family's 1533-position model. The record is from RNAcentral.
GACGAACGCUGGCGGCGUGCUUAACACAUGCAAGUCGAACGGAAAGGCCCUGCUUUUGUGGGGUGCUCGAGUGGCGAACGGGUGAGUAACACGUGAGUAACCUGCCCUUGACUUUGGGAUAACUUCAGGAAACUGGGGCUAAUACCGGAUAGGAGCUCCUGCUGCAUGGUGGGGGUUGGAAAGUUUCGGCGGUUGGGGAUGGACUCGCGGCUUAUCAGCUUGUUGGUGGGGUAGUGGCUUACCAAGGCUUUGACGGGUAGCCGGCCUGAGAGGGUGACCGGCCACAUUGGGACUGAGAUACGGCCCGGACUCCUACGGGAGGCAGCAGUGGGGAAUAUUGCACAAUGGGCGGAAGCCUGAUGCAGCAACGCCGCGUGCGGGAUGACAGCCUUCGGGUUGUAAACCGCUUUCGCCUGUGACGAAGCGUGAGUGACGGUAAUGGGUAAAGAAGCACCGGCUAACUACGUG